UGGCUCAGGACGAACGCUGGCGGCGUGCCUAAUACAUGCAAGUCGAGCGAGCAGAACCAGCAGAUUUACUUCGGUAAUGACGCUGGGGACGCGAGCGGCGGAUGGGUGAGUAACACGUGGGGAACCUGCCCCAUAGUCUGGGAUACCACUUGGAAACAGGUGCUAAUACCGGAUAAGAAAGCAGAUCGCAUGAUCAGCUUAUAAAAGGCGGCGUAAGCUGUCGCUAUGGGAUGGCCCCGCGGUGCAUUAGCUAGUUGGUAAGGUAACGGCUUACCAAGGCAAUGAUGCAUAGCCGAGUUGAGAGACUGAUCGGCCACAUUGGGACUGAGACACGGCCCAAACUCCUACGGGAGGCAGCAGUAGGGAAUCUUCCACAAUGGACGCAAGUCUGAUGGAGCAACGCCGCGUGAGUGAAGAAGGUUUUCGGAUCGUAAAGCUCUGUUGUUGGUGAAGAAGGAUAGAGGCAGUAACUGGCCUUUAUUUGACGGUAAUCAACCAGAAAGUCACGGCUAACUACGUGCCAGCAGCCGCGGUAAUACGUAGGUGGCAAGCGUUGUCCGGAUUUAUUGGGCGUAAAGCGAGCGCAGGCGGAAGAAUAAGUCUGAUGUGAAAGCCCUCGGCUUAACCGUAGGAACUGCAU
Molecule: ribosomal RNA, 640 nt
Filed under: Lactobacillus helveticus
Lineage: Bacteria; Bacillati; Bacillota; Bacilli; Lactobacillales; Lactobacillaceae
Description: bacterial SSU rRNA
Rfam family: Bacterial small subunit ribosomal RNA
Source: RNAcentral